CGAACGCUGGCGGCGUGCUUAACACAUGCAAGUCGAGCGCGAAAGUUACUCUUCGGAGUAGCGAGUAGAGCGUCAGACGGGUGAGUAACACGUGAAUAAUCUACCCCUUGGCGGGGAAUAACCACUCGAAAGGGUGGCUAAUACCGCAUAAGACCAUAAGCUUGCGGGUUUAUGGUGAAAGGCUUUCGGGCCACCGAGGGAGGAGUUCGCGGACGAUUAGCUAGUUGGUGGGGUAAUGGCCCACCAAGGCGACGAUCGUUAGCUGGUCUUAGAGGAUGAGCAGCCACACUGGUACUUAGAUACGGACCAGACUCCUACGGGAGGCAGCAGUGGGGAAUAUUGCGCAAUGGACGAAAGUCUGACGCAGCAACGCCGCGUGGGUGAAGAAGGCCUUAGGGUCGUAAAGCUCUGUCAGGUGGGAAGAACCUUGCCUUUAUGGCAACUGACGGUACCACCAAAGGAAGCACCGGCUAACUCC
RNAcentral lists this ribosomal RNA (478 nucleotides) under uncultured bacterium. Its description in RNAcentral is "bacterial SSU rRNA". It matches the Rfam family "Bacterial small subunit ribosomal RNA", at positions 30 to 504 of the family's 1533-position model. The record is from RNAcentral.